This 490-nucleotide ribosomal RNA is filed under the name uncultured bacterium. Its description in RNAcentral is "partial 16S ribosomal RNA". It matches the Rfam family "Bacterial small subunit ribosomal RNA", at positions 28 to 507 of the family's 1533-position model. The record is from RNAcentral.
GAUGAACGCUAGCUACAGGCUUAACACAUGCAAGUCGCGGGGCAGCUUGGGGGUUGCUUGCAAUCCCCGAUGGCGACCGGCGCACGGGUGAGUAACGCGUAUCCAACCUGCCCUUCACCACGGGAUAACCCGGCGAAAGUCGGACUAAUACCGUAUGUUGUCCAUUGACGGCCUCCGAUUUGGACGAAAGGCUUGGCGGUGAGGGAUGGGGAUGCGUCCGAUUAGCCAGACGGCGGGGUAACGGCCCACCGUGGCUACGAUCGGUAGGGGUUCUGAGAGGAAGGUCCCCCACACUGGAACUGAGACACGGUCCAGACUCCUACGGGAGGCAGCAGUGAGGAAUAUUGGUCAAUGGGCGUAAGCCUGAACCAGCCAAGUAGCGUGCAGGAUGACGGCCCUAUGGGUUGUAAACUGCUUUUAUGCGGGGAUAAAGUGGCCCACGUGUGGGCUUUUGCAGGUACCGCAUGAAUAAGGACCGGCUAAUUCCGUG